GGUUAAGCGACUAAGCGUACACGGUGGAUGCCCUGGCAGUCAGAGGCGAUGAAGGACGUGCUAAUCUGCGAUAAGCGCCGGUAAGGUGAUAUGAACCGUUAUAACCGGCGAUUUCCGAAUGGGGAAACCCAGUGUGAUUCGUCACACUAUCAUUAACUGAAUCCAUAGGUUAAUGAGGCGAACCGGGGGAACUGAAACAUCUAAGUACCCCGAGGAAAAGAAAUCAACCGAGAUUCCCCCAGUAGCGGCGAGCGAACGGGGAGGAGCCCAGAGCCUGAAUCAGCAUGUGUGUUAGUGGAAGCGUCUGGAAAGGCGCGCGAUACAGGGUGACAGCCCCGUACACAAAAAUGCACAUGCUGUGAGCUCGAUGAGUAGGGCGGGACACGUGGUAUCCUGUCUGAAUAUGGGGGGACCAUCCUCCAAGGCUAAAUACUCCUGACUGACCGAUAGUGAACCAGUACCGUGAGGGAAAGGCGAAAAGAACCCCGGCGAGGGGAGUGAAAAAGAACCUGAAACCGUGUACGUACAAGCAGUGGGAGCACCCUUUGGGGUGUGACUGCGUACCUUUUGUAUAAUGGGUCAGCGACUUAUAUUCUGUAGCAAGGUUAACCGUAUAGGGGAGCCGGAGGGAAACCGAGUCUUAACCGGGCGUUAAGUUGCAGGGUAUAGACCCGAAACCCGGUGAUCUAGCCAUGGGCAGGUUGAAGGUUGGGUAACACUAACUGGAGGACCGAACCGACUAAUGUUGAAAAAUUAGCGGAUGACCUGUGGCUGGGGGUGAAAGGCCAAUCAAACCGGGAGAUAGCUGGUUCUCCCCGAAAGCUAUUUAGGUAGC
This 835-nucleotide ribosomal RNA is filed under the name Salmonella enterica. RNAcentral describes it as "partial 23S ribosomal RNA". It matches the Rfam family "Bacterial large subunit ribosomal RNA", at positions 1 to 878 of the family's 2925-position model. Lineage: Bacteria; Pseudomonadati; Pseudomonadota; Gammaproteobacteria; Enterobacterales; Enterobacteriaceae. The record is from RNAcentral.